AGAGAGAACAUUUUAGUGUUUCCAGGUGGGUGCAAGGUGUGAGGUGAGAAAAAAAGACUAUUUUAGAGGUCUCCCAGGUCUUUAAUAUCCUCACAUGAGAAGUGUUUCUUGCUGUGAUGUUCAUAAUCCUUGAAUCCAGAAAAGAGGCAAAUCUGUUCAGAAGGAUCUGCUUGAGUUUGCAGAUAGUCUGGAAAAGCAAGAAAGAUGGGAGCUGCCCUGAUCUUUCAACUGGAAAUCACAAUGUACUUCAUCCACUGCCUCCCAUGGCCCAACUUUGUGUUGUCCACAUGCGCCACAAACAAGAGUUUCCAAAAGCUACACAGAAUCACACAGGAUGUAAUCCAGCUGGUCUGCAGGGACAUGGAGGAGUCAGGCUGUUCAGCUCCGAUGGAGACAUUCAACUGCCAGGGCUAACGCUGGGUCAGACGAAUCUCUCCCACCAGGCUUUGGACACUCAUCUUACUCAGAUGGCUGUUAAUGUGCUGGCUGGACCAAGCAGCGUCAGCCCAAGCCAAUGAUGAUGCUUUACAGUGUGUCACUCACUUCUUUGAGAGCUGUGCUCUUUGCAAUACUGACUGGAGAUGAUUCCGGCAAGUUAAAUUUUUCAUUUGUUGAUUUCCACUGCAUCAGAAAUAUAGCAGUAAAAUACAA
Non-coding RNA from Phasianus colchicus (ring-necked pheasant), 651 nucleotides. NCBI's taxonomy places the organism in Eukaryota, Metazoa, Chordata, Aves, Galliformes, Phasianidae. The record is from RefSeq and is a predicted model, not a curated record.